GGGAGGUUGCUUCGGUAACUGACCUAGCGGCGGACGGGUGAGUAAUACUUAGGAAUCUGCCUAUUAAUGGGGGACAACAUCUCGAAAGGGAUGCUAAUACCGCAUACGCCCUACGGGGGAAAGCAGGGGAUCACUUGUGACCUUGCGUUAAUAGAUGAGCCUAAGUCGGAUUAGCUAGUUGGUGGGGUAAAGGCCUACCAAGGCGACGAUCUGUAGCGGGUCUGAGAGGAUGAUCCGCCACACUGGGACUGAGACACGGCCCAGACUCCUACGGGAGGCAGCAGUGGGGAAUAUUGGACAAUGGGGGGAACCCUGAUCCAGCCAUGCCGCGUGUGUGAAGAAGGCCUUAUGGUUGUAAAGCACUUUAAGCGAGGAGGAGGCUCUCUUGGUUAAUACCCAAGAUGAGUGGACGUUACUCGCAGAAUAAGCACCGGCUAACUCUGUGCCAGCAGCCGCGGUAAUACAGAGGGUGCGAGCGUUAAUCGGAUUUACUGGGCGUAAAGCGUGCGUAGGCGGCUUUUUAAGUCGGAUGUGAAAUCCCCGAGCUUAACUUGGGAAUUGCAUUCGAUACUGGGAAGCUAGAGUAUGGGAGAGGAUGGUAGAAUUCCAGGUGUAGCGGUGAAAUGCGUAGAGAUCUGGAGGAAUACCGAUGGCGAAGGCAGCCAUCUGGCCUAAUACUGACGCUGAGGUACGAAAGCAUGGGGAGCAAACAGGAUUAGAUACCCUGGUAGUCCAUGCCGUAAACGAUGUCUACUAGCCGUUGGGGCCUUUGAGGCUUUAGUGGCGCAGCUAACGCGAUAAGUAGACCGCCUGGGGAGUACGGUCGCAAGACUAAAACUCAAAUGAAUUGACGGGGGCCCGCACAAGCGGUGGAGCAUGUGGUUUAAUUCGAUGCAACGCGAAGAACCUUACCUGGUCUUGACAUAGUAAGAACUUUCCAGAGAUGGAUUGGUGCCUUCGGGACUUACAUACAGGUGCUGCAUGGCUGUCGUCAGCUCGUGUCGUGAGAUGUUGGGUUAAGUCCCGCACCAGAGCGCAAACCCACUCAA
Molecule: ribosomal RNA, 1049 nt
Filed under: Acinetobacter sp. SVUB2
Lineage: Bacteria; Pseudomonadati; Pseudomonadota; Gammaproteobacteria; Moraxellales; Moraxellaceae
Description: bacterial SSU rRNA
Rfam family: Bacterial small subunit ribosomal RNA
Source: RNAcentral